CCUCAGACCCAGGGUGUGCUUGGAUUUGCUCCACAGACACUGGGUAAUUACUACCCUCCAGAUCUGAGGCUUUUCAAGGAUUUAUGGGGCUGGCAUGUGGAAAAAAAGGCAGACUGGGCAGGAUGGAGCAGGGUCUCAGCAGAGCUCCAGGCUGCAAACAGAGCUUGGCUCUGCAACCAGCUCCCGUCCUUUUGCUCUGGGAGCAAAUACUGUGAUCUCAUCACACCCACCCUGCAGUCCAACCAGCCUGGAAAACUCUGUCACGGCUUCAAGCUGGUGCAUUCAAGGGAAUGAGUAUCUUUAUCUGACUCAUGGAAGUUUAAGAAUGCAUUGGAUAAAUGCAAGUUGAAUCGAGGUGAUUGUGCAUUAGUGCCCCUGGUUGUGAAUUCCCCUUCGUGUCUGAAGAAUAUCCAAAGGUGAUGGGAACAAGCCCAGCAAAGCCCUGAUGGAUCCUGCACCAGCCACUAGAGCUGGGCUUGGAGUUCUCUUUCUGCAAAUCACUCCAUCUUCCCUCUUAGAAAUGCAACAAAUGUAAAGGAAAGGACCCAACUGCGACUGGAGGAGAAGUGUUUUCAAGCCAGAGAGCUUUGUUCUUACCCUCCGUGCUCCAGACAUCCACCAGAGCGAGACAGAGCAGGAUGUGGUGCCAAAAUUAAUAUUAUUUUUGGAAAGAGAUUGAUCCUGGAAAGUAAGUUCAUGAAAGAGGAAGAGAAACAAGGGAUUGUUAGUUAAGGUCACUUUGAGGUCUGGCACUCGUGACCCAGAAAAGCCCAAAAGCUUUGGAUUCAGUCCCCCCAAACACAGAAGGAACCGACUGCGAUUGCAUCAUUCCAGGAGAGCACGGGGCAAUUCCACAGGCAGGAAUGGAACAACUUUGCCGUGUUGGGAAGGGUUUGACAGCACCCAUAAGCACCUCUAGGUGAGCCUGCUGCUCACACCAGCCUGCCAAGAACAUGCCCAUCCUCGGGACUCUGGGAAUGUUGGGAACUGCUGGGCCCCUGUGGCUGGGCACGGAGCUCGGCUCUCUCACCACUUCCUUCCUCCACAGCAAACAGA
This 1056-nucleotide long non-coding RNA is filed under the name Manacus vitellinus (golden-collared manakin). Its description in RNAcentral is "lncRNA (ENSMVIG00005012763.1)". Lineage: Eukaryota; Metazoa; Chordata; Aves; Passeriformes; Pipridae. The record is from RNAcentral.